This 2816-nucleotide ribosomal RNA is filed under the name Klebsiella pneumoniae. RNAcentral's name for it is "partial 23S ribosomal RNA". It matches the Rfam family "Bacterial large subunit ribosomal RNA". The record is from RNAcentral. Lineage: Bacteria; Pseudomonadati; Pseudomonadota; Gammaproteobacteria; Enterobacterales; Enterobacteriaceae.
GGUUAAGCGACUAAGCGUACACGGUGGAUGCCCUGGCAGUCAGAGGCGAUGAAGGACGUGCUAAUCUGCGAAAAGCGUCGGUAAGGUGAUAUGAACCGUUAUAACCGGCGAUGUCCGAAUGGGGAAACCCAGUGUGAUUCGUCACACUAUCGUUAACUGAAUACAUAGGUUAACGAGGCGAACCGGGGGAACUGAAACAUCUAAGUACCCCGAGGAAAAGAAAUCAACCGAGAUUCCCCCAGUAGCGGCGAGCGAACGGGGAGCAGCCCAGAGUCUGAAUCAGCUUGUGUGUUAGUGGAACGGUCUGGAAAGUCCGACGGUACAGGGUGAUAGUCCCGUACACCAAAAUGCACAGGUUGUGAACUCGAAGAGUAGGGCGGGACACGUGGUAUCCUGUCUGAAUAUGGGGGGACCAUCCUCCAAGGCUAAAUACUCCUGACUGACCGAUAGUGAACCAGUACCGUGAGGGAAAGGCGAAAAGAACCCCGGCGAGGGGAGUGAAAAAGAACCUGAAACCGUGUACGUACAAGCAGUGGGAGCACCUUCGGGUGUGACUGCGUACCUUUUGUAUAAUGGGUCAGCGACUUAUAUUCUGUAGCAAGGUUAACCGUAUAGGGGAGCCGCAGGGAAACCGAGUCUUAACUGGGCGUUAAGUUGCAGGGUAUAGACCCGAAACCCGGUGAUCUAGCCAUGGGCAGGUUGAAGGUUGGGUAACACUAACUGGAGGACCGAACCGACUAAUGUUGAAAAAUUAGCGGAUGACUUGUGGCUGGGGGUGAAAGGCCAAUCAAACCGGGAGAUAGCUGGUUCUCCCCGAAAGCUAUUUAGGUAGCGCCUCGUGAACUCAUCUUCGGGGGUAGAGCACUGUUUCGGCUAGGGGGUCAUCCCGACUUACCAACCCGAUGCAAACUACGAAUACCGAAGAAUGUUAUCACGGGAGACACACGGCGGGUGCUAACGUCCGUCGUGAAGAGGGAAACAACCCAGACCGCCAGCUAAGGUCCCAAAGUCAUGGUUAAGUGGGAAACGAUGUGGGAAGGCACAGACAGCCAGGAUGUUGGCUUAGAAGCAGCCAUCAUUUAAAGAAAGCGUAAUAGCUCACUGGUCGAGUCGGCCUGCGCGGAAGAUGUAACGGGGCUAAACCAUGCACCGAAGCUGCGGCAGCGACACUAUGUGUUGUUGGGUAGGGGAGCGUUCUGUAAGCCUGCGAAGGUGUGCUGUGAGGCAUGCUGGAGGUAUCAGAAGUGCGAAUGCUGACAUAAGUAACGAUAAAGCGGGUGAAAAGCCCGCUCGCCGGAAGACCAAGGGUUCCUGUCCAACGUUAAUCGGGGCAGGGUGAGUCGACCCCUAAGGCGAGGCCGAAAGGCGUAGUCGAUGGGAAACAGGUUAAUAUUCCUGUACUUGGUGUUACUGCGAAGGGGGGACGGAGAAGGCUAUGUUAGCCGGGCGACGGUUGUCCCGGUUUAAGCAUGUAGGCUGGUUGUCCAGGCAAAUCCGGAUAAUCAAGGCUGAGGUGUGAUGACGAGGCACUACGGUGCUGAAGUAACAAAUGCCCUGCUUCCAGGAAAAGCCUCUAAGCAUCAGGUAACAUCAAAUCGUACCCCAAACCGACACAGGUGGUCAGGUAGAGAAUACCAAGGCGCUUGAGAGAACUCGGGUGAAGGAACUAGGCAAAAUGGUGCCGUAACUUCGGGAGAAGGCACGCUGGUGUGUAGGUGAAGUCCCUGCGGAUGGAGCUGAGACCAGUCGAAGAUACCAGCUGGCUGCAACUGUUUAUUAAAAACACAGCACUGUGCAAACACGAAAGUGGACGUAUACGGUGUGACGCCUGCCCGGUGCCGGAAGGUUAAUUGAUGGGGUUAUCCGUAAGGAGAAGCUCUUGAUCGAAGCCCCGGUAAACGGCGGCCGUAACUAUAACGGUCCUAAGGUAGCGAAAUUCCUUGUCGGGUAAGUUCCGACCUGCACGAAUGGCGUAAUGAUGGCCAGGCUGUCUCCACCCGAGACUCAGUGAAAUUGAACUCGCUGUGAAGAUGCAGUGUACCCGCGGCAAGACGGAAAGACCCCGUGAACCUUUACUAUAGCUUGACACUGAACAUUGAGCCUUGAUGUGUAGGAUAGGUGGGAGGCUUUGAAGCGUGGACGCCAGUCUGCGUGGAGCCAACCUUGAAAUACCACCCUUUAAUGUUUGAUGUUCUAACGUUGGCCCCUUACCGGGGUUGCGGACAGUGUCUGGUGGGUAGUUUGACUGGGGCGGUCUCCUCCCAAAGCGUAACGGAGGAGCACGAAGGUUAGCUAAUCCUGGUCGGACAUCAGGAGGUUAGUGCAAUGGCAUAAGCUAGCUUGACUGCGAGCGUGACGGCGCGAGCAGGUGCGAAAGCAGGUCAUAGUGAUCCGGUGGUUCUGAAUGGAAGGGCCAUCGCUCAACGGAUAAAAGGUACUCCGGGGAUAACAGGCUGAUACCGCCCAAGAGUUCAUAUCGACGGCGGUGUUUGGCACCUCGAUGUCGGCUCAUCACAUCCUGGGGCUGAAGUAGGUCCCAAGGGUAUGGCUGUUCGCCAUUUAAAGUGGUACGCGAGCUGGGUUUAGAACGUCGUGAGACAGUUCGGUCCCUAUCUGCCGUGGGCGCUGGAGAAUUGAGGGGGGCUGCUCCUAGUACGAGAGGACCGGAGUGGACGCAUCACUGGUGUUCGGGUUGUCAUGCCAAUGGCACUGCCCGGUAGCUAAAUGCGGAAGAGAUAAGUGCUGAAAGCAUCUAAGCACGAAACUUGCCCCGAGAUGAGUUCUCCCUGAGACUUUAAGUCUCCUGAAGGAACGUU